UAUCCGUGUGUUUGCCCAAUGUGAUUAUCUUUCAUAUUUGGUCUAAAAAAAAAAUGUAAGAAGACUUACAGGACGCAAAUUGUAAACCAAAUAUGAGUUAAUUAUUUGGUUUGCUUCAGGGAAUGUAUUAGGAAUAUGUUAUUACCUCUAUGUAGAUGUUAAGAUGAUUAAUAGUUAUGAUUAUGAGCCACUUUGCUACUUAUAAUGAAACCCCAUGAUGAAGCCUUUCUCUUAUAUCACAUUUUCUGGCCAUCUGUUCAAGCCAGCAAAGACGAUAGUCACAGUUUAAAUGGGCUGAGGUAUGCUGUCCCAUCCCCAAGCUCCGAGCCUGGUGAGCCCCCUCCCUGCGGUUCUUUUGUCUCCCCUUAAGUCAGGCGUUUGGCUCAAUUACCCCCAAGUAUAGAACAGACCCGAAUGGGGAGAUUUGAUCAGGCCCAUCUAAAUGCGAGCAGCCAAGACUAUAGGAUUCCGUUUUCGUUUAACUUGCAGCAUGUACAGAACGGAAAACAAAAUGUUCUGAAUUCCCCCAAACUCCCACCACGGAGAGCUGCAGAGAGAGAUUACCACCCACUCCAUGCUCUUCAAAUUCAGGGUUUAGGUCGGAGCUCGGGUUGUAGUCAACGUCCACUCACCUUCACGUUGGUACAAAUGAAAUCCCCCCCAAAAAAGCACGUAUUAGUAGCCUUAUGUUUGAAUCUAUUUUAUUUAUGGUAAACACUAUUUAAAGAGCAUAGGCUAUUAUCAACUCCACCUUAGAUAUAUAUAUAUAUAUAUAUAUAUAUAUAUAUAUAUAUAUAUAUAUAUAUAUAUAUAUAUAUCUAUCUAUCUAUCUAUCUAUCUAUCUAUCUAUCUAUCUCUAUCUAUCUAUCUAUCUAUCUAUCUAUCUAUCUAUCUAUCUAUCUAUCUAUCUAUCUAUCUAUCUAUCUAUCUAUCUAUCUAUCUAUCUAUCUAUCUAUCUAUCUAUCUAUCUAUCUAUCUAUCUAUCUAUCUAUCUAUCUAUCUAUCUAUCUAUCUAUCUAUCUAUCUAUCUAUCUAUCUAUCUAUCUAUCUAUUCAACAGUCGCCAAUAUUUGUUUAAAAAUAUGCUGACGUCCCUUUUAACUAAAGCCAUGUAAACCACACCCAGAUUGAGUGUGUAGCUUCUUAAGGCCAUAAUUACACAUAACAAUGUCUUCUUCAUUGUGAAAAUGAAAUAUUACAGUCCUUGACCCUGUGCUUUUUCAAAUUGAAAGCUAUAAUUUGCUUCAACUGUUGAACAUUUUCCAUCUGUUGACUCAUUAUAAAACCCUUUUCCAAACUUGUGUAAUGUGUGUCAGCUGUACUCACAAUCACACUAAACGUGACUUUUAUAUGUAUGCUUACUUGACACGACUAUUGCCUUUCCCCUCAUCUUUUCCACAUGGAGCAUUAUUGCAUGAGUGGCUGUUCCUUUUCAUAAAGUAGAACGUUUUUCCAUAUGCCUACUUCUUUGACCUGAAAGGCACAAUUAUUUUUAGCUGCAGCUCUUUUUCCACACAGAAAAACCAGAUAUCCUUUAUAUCAGGAGAGGGAUCGCGUCUCUGCUGGAGGGAGCACAACUCAACUCCUAAACUGUUAUUAUAAAAAAAACUACAUGCAACUUCGGUAAACUCUUUCAGAGUGUUUGGUUUUGUUGUUCCAUCCCCCCACAAGAUCACGUGAGUCCAGUCUUGGUUCUGUUCCCGGCCAGUAGCUGCAGUUGUUCUUUGCUCUGUGGGAUGAACGAGAUGCUUGUAUAUUUAAGGGCUCUUAUCAGACAAUGGUUCAGCACCGCUCCCGAAGUCUCUGGUUGUCAAGAUAAUCGCGGAUCAAAGCCAACAUGGACCCUGGAACACUGGAAGAGACCCGAAACAUUUCCUCCACUAACAAUGACACUACCAUGCUACCAGUAUUGAUACAUGAUACAUGAUACAGAUAGUGUUUAUACUAAUCAGUGCAAAUGACUCCCUUUUUAUAGUGUUGGUCACAUUUAUUUGUACUACGAUUGCACGGAUUCUGUCGAGCUAAACCAUCUCUCGGUCUGUCCAAUCUACUGACCAAAGUAGUUCUGUGUGUCUGUAUUUCUGCACUACUGUUCCGCCUCCAUCUUUCCUGGACAAACACACGGCUCACAGACGUUGGAAUGACGGUAGCCCGGUGUGAUGUCAUGGGAGCAGCGUGGUAAUAUCCCCCUUGAUAAUGACUUUACCAGGAGCCGGGGCGAUGGGGAAUGUAGGCGGGAUCACACCCCUGGGUCAGAUCAGACUGCUUCCAUGUGGUUUGCAAAUAAAGCACAGUGGCCGUGUCCAACCAAACUCACGUGCGGGAGGCGUCUCAUCCCAUUGUCUCCUGUGUCUAGCGUCCUCCUAGGGAAGGGCCCUGGCUCAGCCUUCACUGAAAGCUGCUUCCUAGAAUACCCACAUGUACUCCCUCCCCAUUGAAUCAACCGAGGGAAUUGCAUUGUGGCCCUUGGCCUGGCUUGGCCAGGUUCCCCUUCGGGUAGGAUGUGUUGGGAUGUUUGUUCCUGGAGACGGGCACUGGGGCAUUACCACUCCGUGAGUGAACAUACUAGUAGGGCCCACUAGACCCCCUCGCAGAGUAAAGAAUACAUAGACAUUGCUAUUCAGCGUGGCCAUCGCAUUAUGGCAUCAGCAUUGCUUGUCUCUAGUUAGCCUGGUUGAUUCGCUUCUCUUUGUCCCGUAGAGGUCUUAUCCCCUGCACAUCUCUGGUCCCAGGGGUUUGCCUGAUCCUAAAGGAAAUGGAUUACUGAGUUUGCCCAGUCUCAGUCUCAGAGCGAGAGAGUCCCAUUUCUCUCCCCCUCCCAGGAGUCUACGUUACUCUAGGUCUCGGCUUAGUAGCUCGAGCUCCGCCAUAUGGUCGUGUCUUCAUGGAGGCGUUCUGAGACGGCGGUGCAGUUUUCCAAGGUGUAGCGUUGGAGCGCGGGCCACUGAAGGAUCCUCUUUCAAAGUGGCCCAGCACCACUGGAUUCCUGCGGUCGCGUCUCGGCUACGGCCGCAGGAGAACUCAAAAGAGGGAACGUUUGCUUUGAACUGGCUGCUUGCCUUGGUGCUCGGUUGUAAUGACUUUACCAACGUUAUUAAAACGGCCAAUGCAUAUUUCUAUGGGCUUGUUUAGAGAAGAACAUCUGAUUAUUUUCCAGUGCUUGAUUGCUUUGGAAACAAUCCUAACCAAUUGGCCCAAAGCUUUCCUUUUCCUUCAACACUGAUUUUGGUGUCGUUAUCUGAUUCAUAUGUAUGCUAAUACUCAAUACUACGCACUCACACAACUCAGUACAGAGGUCGUUGCAUUUGAAGAAACAAAAUCAACUAUUGAUUAAUCAUAACAACGAGACAUUUUAAGUUUAUUUGUUUUAAAGACAGAAUAUUUCAUCAAUAAUCCAGGACUUUCUUGAAUGUCCCCAUGCUGUGCAGACUUUAAGAAAGACCCUUCAGACGGGUGCAUGAUAGUGGCCUUCCAAGGCAGACUAAUAGAGUCAAGCUGUUCAAUUGAUAUACGGGACAUUAAACCUAAAUCAUUUUCAUUGGUUAAGGGAUGGUGGCAUUUGAUUUGAUAAGCCUCUAUGUGUCUACCCCCCCCCCCCCCGUACAACCACAGGGUCUUGACCGACUCUCGUGAAGAGGCGUCGUGGCUGUGAAGCGGGGGUGGGGAGGGAGGGAAAGGCCUUUGUUGGUUUGUUUGUUUUGCCUACUCAGUUUGGUAGUUGAGUGUACAUCUGUCUUGGCUGUCGCCGAGCCUCAGGAAGAGAGGAUUAGCGAGGGACUUCAGGGCACACUGCUAACUUGGUUUUAAAGCUAUAGCUGAACAGACGGUGGUCUGGCUCUACCGUCCACCUGGCCUUCUCGACCCUCAGGCAACAAUUCCCCAUUCUAGACAGGUUUUAUGGGGGACUUUUAGUGCUUCUCCUCUGGCUGGGUUUUUUGUGAGGAGAGGAAAGGGCAAGUGAGAGAGCAUGGCUAAUUGGGGAAAUCCAGCGUAGUUCAACGUAGGUCAGCGUUGUUCAGCACAGGUCAGGAUAGUUCAGUGUGUUGUUCCUUCAGUGUGCGGUUCCUUCAGUGUAGUUCAGUGUGUGGUUCCUUCAAUGUGUGGUUCCUUCAGUGUAGUUCAGUGUGUGGUUCCUUCAGUGUAUGGUUCCUUCAGUGUGUGGUUCCUUCAGUGUCGUUCAGUUUCAGUGUGUUGUUCCUUCAGUGUCGUUCAGUGUGUUGUUCCUUCAGUGUAGUUCAGUGUGUUGUUCCUUCAGUGUAGUUCAGUGUGUUUUCAGUGUGUGGUUCCUUAAGUGUAGUUCAGUGUGUGAUUCCUUCAGUGUGUUGUUCCUUCGUCCAAACUAACGGUAGUCGAGCGUGUUGAAUGUGUGGUUCCUUCACCUGCCAGCCGUGUGGUAUCUGUCUAUUGAUCUCUCCAGUUUUCAGGUCUAGAAUUAGCCGAAAUAAAAUGCUGUUCAGUUCUGUUUUAAGUAGUUUCCAGUAUGUGUGGUAUUAUCACAGUUCUUUCAUCCACAUGACAGGAUGAAUACUUCAGGAAAUGCCCCAAAUGGUUUCUCUUUUGUGUGUGUGUGUGUGUGUGUGUGUGUGUGUGUGUGUGUGUGUGUGUGUGUGUGUGUGUGUGUGUGUGUGUGUGUGUGUGUGUGUGUGUGUGUACGUGUGUGUGGGAGGGUGUGUAUGUCUGUGUUUGUGUUUGUGUUUCAGUGCUUGCAUGCAUGUGAGUGUGUGAGGUUUGGUGUGUGCAUGUACGUGUGUGUGUGUGUGUGUGCGUGUGUGUUUCAGUGCGCGUGUGUGUGUGUGGUUGUGUUCAUUCAUGCACUGCAGUGGGGUAGUUUGCAGACAGAUGCGCCCUGGCUCUCGGUGUGAGACUUAGCUUCCUCUUCAGCACAACGAGGGUUCAGCGGUUACUGUGUCUCAGUGGAACAGCCUCGUUCCCUGAUGCUGGUUGUGUUUCUGUCACUGCAGCUCUCGUGGUUUGCGUUUUUGUUGACAUGGAUGCUACAAAAUAACUGGUGUUGAAAGGACUUAAUAUGAGGAGCCAGUGGUUUAUGGCCUAACUCUUAAAAAACAUGUUGCCCAUCAAAAUACCCUAUUUGUCUUGACGUAACAAUCCGUUAAAUAUUUUUUAACGGAUUGUUGAGCACUACUAUUUACAUCCAUUCUGGCACCCAUUGAACUACUUACCAACCCUGGAAGGAGGGAUCCCCUACCCUGUGUUCCUUCUCAAGAUGUCCUCCUUGUUCAUUUCGUUUCAUCUUGCCCUUUGGUCGCUAGGGUUAGGGUGUGUCAUACAUAUAUGUCCUUUCAAGCAUUUUGAGUCUGCAAUGAUUAUUAAGGGCUAUACAAAUAGAAUUUACUGGACUGGAUUUGUCAAUCUGACUGUACGUCAUGUAUUGCUCACAUAUUGUUACUUCUGCUUUCUGUGUCGUCUGACAGUGACAGCUCCUGAUGCUUUCGCUAUUCCUGAGAAAUCUGGCGGAAGGGGACAGUGAUUAAUAGUUCUGACAAAUGGGCUUAUUGUAAGUCGCUUUGGAUAAAAGCCAAUACCCUAAAUUUAAUUGUAAAUGUUAAUGUAGUAAAGCCGUAUUCUAUGGGGUUCUCAUUUAGUCUCUGACCAUUAAAGGAACAUCAUUUAUUUUAAUUGAAAGCUGUGAGCUUUAUUUAUAGAAAUAGGCUUUUCUUAUUGGUCAACCUUUUGUCGGACUGGGCAUGAAGUCAAAAGGCCGGCCUGAAUUAUGGAGGCAUUCAUGUACCUGCAUUCCUGACAUUCCCGGGGCAUAUUGUCUGUUAGCUAGAGUUCCCCGUAAGCUCUGCAUGGACGGACACAGGGGGAGAAACAGGAUGCUCCUGUAGUAGUAAAGGCAUUCCUCUGAUUCACGGCCACUUUUACAGUUUGUUUAUAAGUAAUGAAUUCAUUCAACAGUCCCACGCUGAAGUUCCUGCUCGCAAAGGAAAGUUGCCUAACCUCGAAAUGAGUAGCACAACAAAAUACAAUUUUAAAUUUUUUUCAAAUUAACAUUUUAUGUUUUUUAUGCAAAACUAGAAGCAUCCAAAGUCAGACAGUAUUGUGAAAGUGAAACUUUGAAGUACAGAUUUAGCUUUCCAGGUGUGUGAGGGAAACCUUGAGCUUGUAGCAUGUGGCUGUUUGUCU
Gadus macrocephalus (Pacific cod) is the source of this 6146-nucleotide long non-coding RNA. RefSeq lists it as uncharacterized. NCBI's taxonomy places the organism in Eukaryota, Metazoa, Chordata, Actinopteri, Gadiformes, Gadidae. The transcript has 3 exons. The record is from RefSeq and is a predicted model, not a curated record.